Molecule: ribosomal RNA, 327 nt
Filed under: uncultured eukaryote
Lineage: Eukaryota
Description: partial 18S ribosomal RNA
Rfam family: Eukaryotic small subunit ribosomal RNA
Source: RNAcentral
CCCCUAGAUGUUCUGGGCCGCACGCGCGCUACACUGAACAGUUCAACAAGUCUUAACCUUGGCCGAUAGGUCUGGGUAAUCUUUGAACGCUGUUCGUGAUUGGGAUAGACCUUUGCAAUUAUGGGUCUUCAACGAGGAAUUCCUAGUAAACGCAAGUCAUCAGCUUGCAUUGAUUACGUCCCUGCCCUUUGUACACACCGCCCGUCGCACCUACCGAUUGAAUGGUCCGGUGAAGCGUUCGGACCGUGGCCUUUGGACGGUUCGCCGUCUGUUGGCUGCGGGAGGUUCGUUAAACCUUAUCAUUUAGAGGAAGGUGAAGUCGUAACA